AUGGCGGGCGCAGUGAAGAUUGGUUCAUGGGGUCUACCCAGCGGAAAACUUUGCGACAUCAACAGCUACAGCAGCCCCCAACGCCUCAUCAGCAUCACCGUGUAUAGCAACGAAACCCCUGGAGGCUGCAUCGUUGGCUUCUCCUUCACCUACGUGGACCAGACCGGAGGGGCCAUCAACGUCGGCACAUGGGGCAACACCUGGGGAGGCGUCAAAACGAUUUAUAUGAACCAGGGGGAGCAUGUGAACGAUGUGAGCGGCACCUCCAACAGCAGAGGGGUGACCUCGCUCAAGAUAGUCACCAACCAGGGGGACCGCGGCACGUACGGGUGUCCGGCGGGCGACGCAUUCAGCGUGCCGCUGCGGCAGGGCAAGAACGAGGUGGUGGCCUUCUUCGGCCACUCCGACGACACCCUCAAGUCCCUGGGCGUCUACGUGCCGGGGGCCAAGGAGUGCCCCGUCAAGAUUGGCCCCUGGGGCGGCCACCUCGGCUCCUCCAGGGACCUCUACGCCAGCAACAUGCCGGUGCAGCUGCAGAGCAUCGCCGUCCGCAGCAGCGAGAGGUCCGGCGGCCGCGUCUUCGGCUUCUCCUACAACUACUUGGACAAGGCCGGCCAGCGCAUCAGCGUUGGCCCCUGGGGCUCCAGGACCAAAGGCCAGCAGCGCAACAUCGCCAUGAACGAGGACAACUACGUCACCUUCAUCAGCGGCACCUACGAUGACUACGGCGUCACCUCGCUCAAGUUCGAGUCCACCCAAGACGACUACGGCCCCUUCGGGUGCCCGGUGGGCACCGCCUUCAGCGUGCCUGUGCGGGAUACCGGGGCCAUCGUCGGCUUCUUCGGCCGCUCCAGCGCCGACGGCCUCGUCGGCUUCGGUGCCUAUGUCGUGCCGCUGGAUGACUAG
RNAcentral lists this ribosomal RNA (906 nucleotides) under Triticum aestivum (bread wheat). RNAcentral describes it as "partial small subunit ribosomal RNA". The record is from RNAcentral. Lineage: Eukaryota; Viridiplantae; Streptophyta; Magnoliopsida; Poales; Poaceae.